AUGAAAUUAGCACAGGCAACCGCGGCUGCCAGCAGCCUCACCGUGCCGAUGCUUUGCGCUCCCACCUGAGCCACUGCCCUGCUCUGUCCUUGGAGGAUGAGUUGGGUGCCCAUGAGUCUCCCUGCUAUUCCUAGGAGUUUACUCAGGAUCUGCAGGAGGAUGUGCAGCCUGGAGCUCACCACUACCCUUCUCUUCAGACCGCUGGGAGGUGGAAGUGCUGAUAGAAACACUGCGCUCCUCUGGGCCGUGCAGGCAAUAGGAGGUGGAGCUCCUUGCCCAGAUAUCUUGCUGAUAUCCCUCGCCAUAUGGGAUGUGUGUGGUGCUGCUUCCUCCUGGCUGUCACUCGUGGGGUUCUGCCCCGGCUCCGAAGCUCCGUGCGUGGGAACAGCUCCUGGCUGGGGCUCAUCUCUGUCUGCAGGAGCUGCUCGGCCUCUUUCAGCACAUCUCAGUCUGUUUGGAGACAGUUCCCACAAGCAUCUCUUCUCCAGGUGUAGCGGCUUUCUCUCCCCCGUGUUUCAGCCGUGGUAUCACAUUAUUUAUGGUUUCCUGCCUGUUGGCUGGUUUGGAAGUCAGCAAUUCCCCGAGAUGAAGUUGUACGAAGUUGGCUGGUGCUGAAUUUGCAUUUUUUUUUUCCCAGAAGAGAGAGAGAUCGAGGGAAAAAACGUCACCGUGCUGCAUCACCGGGCACUCCAUCCCACGGGUCUGCCCAUCCUCACCCCUCCAACGCCAACGCCCCUCAGGUGGUGAUCCCCACGUCCCCGCUCGGACGCGGGAUCACAGCUCCAACUCCCCUUCCCAGCACAUCAUCAACAUGUUGUUUCCAGGGUCAUAAAUUUGCACGGUGAUGAGACACAACCAGAUGUUCGGCUACGUGAAGCGACUGGCGAAGCAGCCUGCCUGGCGCAGCCCCCGCCGCCGGAGCCAGCCGCCUGCUAAUGAGAAGCAGGUCUCUCGCCUCGCGCCGGGCCAGCACAGACGGGGAGCGUCCCCGGGAGCACCUGCAGAGCUGCCAUCCCGACCCCCGGCCUGCUCUCGGCGUCCGGGGAGCGACUACAGGCUCUUUGGUGUCUAUCGGCUUCUGGCGGCCAUCUGGAAAGCGAGUGCGGCCUAGCGCAGAGGGGACGUUCAAGGCCGCGGUCCUUCUUGCUAGCAAGGAAGCCGGUCACGAUGCAGUGUGAUGCUUUGUCGUGUACAAAUACUUCUGAGACGCAUGUUCUGUAUGGAUGAGCAGUUCGGUUCUUGAUGGAGAGGCCCACGGGGAUGUGAGGUCUUAGCUCAGGAUGCUGAGGCAGUACCCUCUGCCGGGAGCUGGUGUUGACUCGAGAUGCCCGUUUCCAUGACUUUGAAUGCCUGCGUCCCCUGAGUGGGUUGAAAAGUGCUGAAAAGGGAACGUGGGCUGCGGUGGUCCUCAGGAUGGCUUUCGGCCAAUGCGUGGCAGAUGCUACCCCUGCAACAUGCUUGUGAUGUUUUGGGAUGUGCACUAAACAUCUGGGAAACACACCCUGAUGGCAGUCCCUGGGCACAACCAUCAUGGGGAGGCUUUCUCUCUGUGGUCUUCUUCUGGAAGCCUCUGGAGGUCCCAGGGACAAGCCUGAGCCCCGUGUGAGGCUGGCACGGCUCCAUCGCUGCCUCGUGGCAUCAAACCAGCCCUUGCAUCACAGGGUGAGUCUAGGAUGAAGGAUGGUCCCAUGUGAAGGUCUGGUGUUGGUGCCUCUCCUCUGUUUCUUUGUUCUUCCCUGGAUCACAUGGGCAGUGAUGGCACCUCCUCAUACACCUACAUGCACUCUCCCAUCGCCUGGGCACAGACGAGUGAUAGGAGUGUGUACGUGGGUGGGCUGCACAGAAGACAGAGGACCUAUUUUGAAGAAAAAGAAUAAGGAGCAUGUUGGUACAAGGCUCCAGAGCUGCAAGUUGAUCCUGGGUGGUCACUCUUUGCUUGGAGGUUCAGGAACAGCCUCCAGAUUAGAAGAGGAGGAGAUGGAUCUUGAAUAAUGCAGCAAUUGGAGAAACUGGCAUUUUGCUAGACAGCAGACCAAGCAGCUGUGCCUCCCUGCAAGCAUCCCAGACGUGAGCUGCACCUUCCCAGGCACUUCCUUUUGCUCACCAGAGCAUGGGCACCAAGGCACGUCACUUCCUAAAGAGUGGGAAGGUCUGGAGGAAGGGAAGGACCUGCCUUCAGGACUCCCGCCGGAGCCAUAGACCCUGCCUGUUAGAGGCAGACCGGUCAGCUCGCGCCUCCGGAGCGCGGCCGUGUCCUGUUGGAGCGAGCAAGGAGCCGCACGCCGCCGUAUAUCUCUCAGAAAAUGGACCUGGUUACACGUGUCUUUGGGCAGCUGACAAGGGGAUGUAGUUUAGGGCUAAGACAGCAGCUCGGUAGCAGAAAUCAGCCUCGCCGAUAAUGAAAUCUCUUGCACGACGCGCUGAGAGCUCCGCAGCCUUAAAGGUGCAAAAUGGAGUUGUUCCGUUGGCUUGCAAUGGAGUCGGGCCAAUUCUGAAGCGAGCCCUGGAUUUUAUUCUGGG
RNAcentral lists this long non-coding RNA (2520 nucleotides) under Gallus gallus (chicken). RNAcentral describes it as "lncRNA (ENSGALG00010014732.1)". Lineage: Eukaryota; Metazoa; Chordata; Aves; Galliformes; Phasianidae. The record is from RNAcentral.